AGAGAAGGAGAGGAAGCAGAGCACAUGGGAGCAGUGGAGCUAGUUGGAGAAGCUUAAUUCAGAUCAAAUAUUUCUCUUUUCUUUAUAUAUAAAUUGUAAUGUUUUUUAAAAAGACAUUUCAAUUAUUUUCUGCAAGAAAAGCAUAUUGCCAAAGGGGAUAGAUAGAUAGGUGUUAAUACUCUUUCAAAUCUUCCCAAUACAAGCAUGUGAAAGACCUUGUUGUAGGACAGGUCUGUGGCACUAAUAUUGUAGGUCCCAUUUCUUUUAUUUGUAUUCAAAUACUAUAUAUUAUUUAUGAUACCAUAUACUAACAAAUGUAAAAAAUGUAUGUCUAUAUGUUUGAUACUGCGAAAGCCACCACAUAGAUAUGACAAUUGGGAAACACAAGUGGUGGGUCUCUCUAU
Long non-coding RNA from Arabidopsis thaliana (thale cress), 404 nucleotides. RefSeq annotates it as other RNA. The record is from RefSeq. The transcript has a single exon. NCBI's taxonomy places the organism in Eukaryota, Viridiplantae, Streptophyta, Magnoliopsida, Brassicales, Brassicaceae.